This is an RNA transcript of Papaver somniferum (opium poppy), 3359 nucleotides long. It is a transcript of the gene named 40S ribosomal protein S13-like, with no coding region annotated. The transcript has 9 exons. NCBI's taxonomy places the organism in Eukaryota, Viridiplantae, Streptophyta, Magnoliopsida, Ranunculales, Papaveraceae. The record is from RefSeq and is a predicted model, not a curated record.
AGUUUUCACUUUAAUGGAUCCUUCGGGUUACUCAAAUUCAUUUAGGGUUUGUAGGGGGUCCUGAUUUUGUUCAAAUUGUAAUGAUAAACCUUAAAUGGGAGUAUUCUUUCUUAGGGUUCCGUUCAGAUUGAAGAUCCGAACACGAAUUUCUGAAGAUUUGUCACCAUUGGUAUCUCUUUUUACCGAAGAUUCGAACACGAAUUACCGGGUUUCGUUACCACGCUUAUCUUGACUUGAAUUCUUCGGACGGAGGAACGCUUCAUGUCAAACUUUCGGAAGGACUCAGCUGAGGAUUGCAGCUUAGAUUUACAACCUGUAAUUAAGUACAGACAAAAUGGUGUUGUCUUGUUACACAUCUAUUGUAUUUCUGAUGUGUUGGUAUGCUUUUAAUAUUGGGUUUUUGGGUGUGACAAGGUAUUGACUGUUCGAAUCUGGGUCAAUACAGAAGAACACCACCAAGCUGGUUGGAACUUUUCUUCUCCUGAUGUUGAAGAUAACACAUGUAAGUUCGCAAAGAACUGGUUGACUCCAUCUCAGAUUGAUGUCAUUCUCAGGGAUUCACAUGGUUUAAGAGUUUUGCAUAUUCUUAAGGCUCAUGUUGCAGAAUGCCGAUCUCCUGGACAGUGAAAUCAUAUAUGACAGAGAUUUUGACUGAUUAUUUUGGUUUCAAAACCCUUGAAAGAUCCUACCUGUUGAAGGUGCAAGGCAAGGUUGUAGAAGACCACAACAUAUGUUGAUGAGAGUUGCUGUUGGAAUCCGCAAAGACAAUAUUGAUUCUGUUCUCAGAACAUAUCAUCUAUGCCACAACGUUGGUUUACCCAUGCUUCUCCUACUCUUUUCAAUCUAGGGACACUCAGGCCUCAAUUGAGUAGCUGCUUCCUUGUGUGCAUGAAAGAGCACAGUAUUGAAGGAAUAUAUGGAACUUCGAAGGAGUAUGCUGUUAUUAGUAAAUCUGCUGAAGGAAUUGGAGUUUCUGUGCACAACAUCUGUACCACUGGUAGUUAUAUCUUUGGUACUAAUGGAACAUCUAUUGGAAUUGUUCCAAUGCUAUGAGUAUUCAAUGACACUGCCCGUUGUGUUGAUCAAGGAUGACGUAAUGUCUUCUGCCUUGAUAUACUUUCUUGUGUUAGCUUCCUGUACAGGUACUUGGAUGUGCAUAUAUUAGGUUUCUAUUGUUGACCCAAUAUUGUUAACCCUGGAUUUUUCCGGGUUGAGACUCUGUAAAAAGCUAUUAUCAAUCGUUCAUUCAGGUGAUAUUGCUGUCUACCUAGAGCCAUGGCAUGCCGCUGUUUUCGAGUUCCUAGACCUAAGGAAGAAUCAUAGAAACAUAUUGUUGGAUGAUUUAUUGAUUUCACCUGCCGUCAGAAUUUGUCCAAUAAGUGAUGUAAGUGGCAGUAACAUAGAAUAGGAAUUCCUAUAACGUCUUUAUAAUUGAACGUCUGGAUUCUGCCUUGCAGGAUACUGUAUUUUGGUUGUCUCUGAAUAUUUUGUAUAAACCUUCGAAAUACACACAAGAGCAAGCUGCAGUUAGAGCAUCCUCAGGAGAUUUCAGCCUGCGCAUUCUGUCAAUAGCGGGUGCCUCGCUGCCGGGUCUUCUGAAAUAUAGCUGACAGUGAUUCUUAAUGAGCUGGUCUGCACAAAGAUACAGCCUAAUUCUGAUCGAUAGAGUUCAUUUGAUUGAGAAAGACAAGCUUGUUGGGUUUGUUCUAGAUUGUCAGUUUGUGAGCAUGAUCAGAGUUGUGUUCAAAAAUAUGUUGGAUAAAGAGAAUUGAGAUGGGCCAGAUGAUGCUGUUGAUGUUUUCCUUACAUAUUUUGGUGUUGUUCUGGCACGGCUGCGCUUCAAAAAAAAAAAAAAAGACUCAGCCUAACAAGCAAACCCUGUAUUAACAACUUCCAAUCCAAUGUGCUUUCUUUUUUAAAGAGCGAAAUUUUUUUAGUUUGACAACUCAUGUAGAUGCUUGUACUACCACAACACUGUUAAUUUUUAAGUUCUUGGAAGUCCAAUAGUGUUUUUGAUAUGUACACAAGCUUUGUUCGCAUGGUGAUUUUAAACCCGCAUAAUCAUAUGCACUCACCUGGGCACAUGUGCACCAUUAAGCAUUAGAAAAUCAUCAUCCAACUUCAAGUAUAUUGUGUGACAUCAGUUUAUUCAUACUGAUACUAAAUUCCUUGCUGAUGCUAAAAUAAGCUUGUUCACUAUGUAUAUUUGCAGUAUUAGAGCCACGUGUGGGUUGGAUUUAGAGAGGAUUCGCUUUCAUGGUUCAGAUUCUCCUCAAUCUGCUGCCAGGGAGAUCCUUCUUCUUUCUUUGGGGAGGUGUCGUUACAGGGUGACAGUUGCUUUUCAGUAAAGCGACAACUUGUAACAUAGAGAAGCAGCUGUAAACUGGAGAGUGUGGACCAAGUUGAAGAAAAUCUUUUGCCAUGAGUCUAGAGUCCAACCAACCAUCUUCAGCAUCAGUUUUCAGUAGCUGGUUGUAUAUGAAUGAAUAAUUACUCUUUUGUACUUUAAUCAACACUAAUUGUUCCAUCUACGGGCUGUAUAAUUCUUCUAUGUACGGACAUCCAUUGUGUCUGUGUCCCGACAUCCAUCAUUUGAAUAUCCAUAAGGUGGAGCACCUUUUUUCGUACUUGAUAAAAUGACGACCGCUGCAUUACUGUUGAAAUUAUGACUGAUAUGCUCACAAAAUUCUAAGUCAAAUGCCUGACACACAGAAUCUACCUGAUAUCUAGGGAAGUAGCCCUCUUAUUAGGAAAUGGUGCAGAAAUGCACGAAUAUUUUUCUUUUUAUUCUCAUAAAAAUUCGACUGAUUCUGGAGAGUUAAAAAGGAGGCCAUCAGUGAUUGGGUGGAACGGAGGGCACAUGGAAAUCUUGGUACAGAGGAUCCAGAGCAACAACAACUACUGAACCCAAAAUGGGAGGAAAUUUUCACGUGUACUUGUCGUUGAUUUUCUUAAUAGCCUCUCUAGCUAGCCUUCCCUAAAUGGGAGGAAAUUUUUAGCGGGUCAGUCAUGCGCUUGUUCUUCCCUUUCUACUUAGUUGAGUCAUGUAAUUUUUCUUCUUAUAGAUAGGUAAGUCAUGUAAUUUUUCUUUUUUUAAAGCAUAUAUAUAUAUAUACACGAUUGUGGCAGCUCUUUUGGAUUAAGAAUUAAAUCAUAAAUCCAUUUUUUUCUUUUUGAGAGUUGUAUCCGAGCAAAAUCACAAACUGCAUAAACUAUUUAUAUAUAUAAUGAAAAGUCAAUUAUUAUUUGCCUUGUUUCUUUCUAUUAGACUAUUGGUAAUGGUUGCUUCAGAGGAGAUUGACGACGCCUAUUGCCCUGUGGAUGAAGAAGAUAAAAUACGUCAAGCCUACUAUAUCGGU